RNAcentral lists this long non-coding RNA (739 nucleotides) under Homo sapiens (human). RNAcentral's name for it is "HSALNT0336467". The record is from RNAcentral. Lineage: Eukaryota; Metazoa; Chordata; Mammalia; Primates; Hominidae.
GUGUUGAUUCUGGGUUACUUUAUUAUGAUCUAAAAUAUCAUCAUCUCUUAAAUAUUAGUUCAUGGGACUGGAUAGUGAUUGACUUUUGAGUGGCCUUCCUCAAAGCAUGGUCUGAAGACCACUGCAUCAGGAUCACCAGAGCCUCUUGUUGAAAAUAAAAAAAAAACACCUCUGUUUGCAUCUGUAGACAAAGAUCUGUUCAGAAUGGUUGGCUUUGUGAGGUGCUGUGAGACAGAGAUGAAAAAGACAAUCUUCCAAGCCUUAGGAAAAAAAUAUUAACCAACCAUCUCUAGGAAAUUGCAAAAUAGUUUCUACUUUAUCAGGAUUUCCAAUUCCAGGUGAAUAGGAUAAAGAUGAUGGUCUUUGGAGGCAAAAAAAGUGUUACUGGGAAAGAAGUGAUAACCAGACACAUUCACAUCAUUAUGCACCAUCUCUGUUCUGAUAGAGAAGCCAAAAGCACAGGGCCAAUCCUUUGCUUAAGUUAUGAGCAUGGUAUGUAUGACCUAUGUCACACAUGUUAUUUAAAAUGCACAUUUUAGCCUAUUCAAGAGUUCUUUUUCUGAAAAGUAAAUUUUAGACAUUUUUGUAAAGUCUUAGGAAAUUAAGAAAGAGGAUUUAUGAGUUAAUAUAUGUACAGCUCUUAGAAAGUACAUAUAGCUCAAAGUUCUCUGCAUUUAUUAUUAUGGUAUGUAUAAUAGUCACUGUUGACUUAGUUAACGUUAAGUAAAUAUUAAGCAUC